AUGGAAGGUGGAGCGAAAGAGAUGAAGAAGGAGGUUCAGAAAGGGGAAGUGAAUGUGAAAGAGCCUGGUGAUGUAUCAGGACUGGAAAACAUGGUGCAACUUGGUUCCGAUGGUGCUCGUUUUCUGACAUAUCUGCGGUCUUCCCCUCCCAAUACACAUUUUUCCAGUUUUAUGAUAAAUGCUGCUUUUUUUUUCCUUUUAGGUUCAGAUUAA
Molecule: non-coding RNA, 213 nt
Organism: Vicia faba (fava bean)
Lineage: Eukaryota; Viridiplantae; Streptophyta; Magnoliopsida; Fabales; Fabaceae
Source: the annotation of a GenBank genome assembly